This 1637-nucleotide long non-coding RNA is filed under the name Nicotiana benthamiana. RNAcentral's name for it is "long non-coding RNA (NBEN_LNC006674)". The record is from RNAcentral. Lineage: Eukaryota; Viridiplantae; Streptophyta; Magnoliopsida; Solanales; Solanaceae.
CUAAAAUUCUCUUAGAUCUUAGCUUCUUCAAAAAAGAAAAACCAAAAACAGAAGAAAAUAUAACAGAAAUCCAAAAAAUAUUGUUAUGUUCCAAUUUCGUUGGAUGAAUUCAAGUUUUAGGGGGUAAUUAGCAUUUUCUAGUUCAAUAUUCAGUAGCUGAAGUAUCCGGGGUUGAUUUCGAGAAGUUUUAAGCUUAAUUAGAUUGAUUCUGUGUGAGAUUUGGUUUUGUGGAGAUGUGCUAAUGUUUUGAUGGUGUGACUGAGUGCAUCUUGGGUUGUUUUGGUUCAAUUUACUGAUUUCAUUUGAGUUCUCAACCUUUUUGGGAUUUAUGGACUCAUUCUCUGGGUUGUGUGUUGUUUUGUACUGCUAAAACUUGCCUGCUGCUACUGCUGCUGUUCUCCUGCUUCUGCUGACUCUGUUCUUCUUCUAUUGUAAUUCAAAACCAGGUACACACUUUCAAGCUUGAAUCCAUGCAGUGUAUUCAGUUGAAAAUGAAUUAAACAAGAGCGUGAUUUGUUAAAGGCUUCAUUAGUUCUCAUAUUCUCAUUAUCCUUGAUUGCAAAUAUUUAGUUGUAUCGGACUGUUGGUUUAUUUGGACUGUGUGAUUUAUUUGGAACAUGCUUAUGUGGAAAUGAACAUUGGAGUCGAUAUCACAAUUUAAUUAUUAGUCACUUUAGAAAGUCUCACAUGACUAAUUGCUCCAAAGCUACCUGAGGUGUGAAAUUGAAUUUGCAUUCUCGAGUGAGCAUGUGUAUGGAAUCUGAUAAUGGAAGUCCAUGUUUGUCAAGUUAAUUCAUUGACUUUGAUAGCUUAAUUUAGCUAGUGAUACUUUAGCUUGAUCAACACAUCCAAGUUAAUUGGCAGUGAGUGGUUCAGUCAUACUUAAGUGAAUAUGGAAUUAAUAUCAAAGUAGUCAAUAUCAUCCAUAUUCGAAUAGAACAACUUGUCGUACUCUUGCUAUGCACUUUUGUUGUAGAUAUUAUGAGCACAUCGAGUUUCUGUUCCGGCAAUAUUGUAGCACUUAUGUUCCUCUAGAGGUUCAUAGAUAGUUGUCGACUUAUGUAUAGUUUGGAUAGCCUCGUUAGCUGAUUUUUGUUGUAUAGUCUCUUAUGGCAGCUUGUCAGCUUGUACCUUAUAUAUAGCUUCAUGACAACUUUGUCGGCCCAUGUUAUGUAUGUUCAUGUCACUAUCUGUCAUUGUUGGUUGUUCAUGAUUUAUGUCUACCAUUUAUAUUGAUCUCGUCGGCCCUUAUAGAUAAUAAAAAGGGUUAGAUAAAAUGUAUGUUGGUGCUCAACAGGUAUGACCUGGGUGCCAGUCAUGGCCCUCCAGUUUGAAUCGUGACAAUAACUUCGACGAAGUAGUGACGAGGCUAUGACAAGAUACUCAAAACAAACCUGUAUAAAUAAUGAUAAUAACAUAAAACAUGAUAAAUAGAGGUAGUAAACUCGUAUAGACGGACUCAAUUCAACUACCAGAGGGCCCCAGAAUAACACGUUCUCACAUCACAGUACUAGAAUAAAUUCUACAACAUCUACCGUUACUGCACAUUAUACUCUAUUGACGCAAAUCGAUCCAAAAUUAUAUCUCAAUAACAAGUCUUUUCCAUUGCGAGGCGUAAUCGAUCCACAAAUAUAUAU